GACGAACGCUGGCGGCGUGCUUAACACAUGCAAGUCGAACGGAAAGGCCCUGCUUUUGUGGGCUGCUCGAGUGGCGAACGGGUGAGUAACACGUGAGUAACCUGCCCUUGACUUUGGGAUAACUUAAGGAAACUGGGGCUAAUACCGGAUAGGAGCUCCUGCUGCAUGGUGGGGGUUGGAAAGUUUCGGCGGUUGGGGAUGGACUGGCGGCGUAUCAGCUUGUUGGUGGGGUAGUGGCUUACCAAGGCUUUGACGGGUAGCAGGGCUGAGAGGGUGACCGGACACACUGGGACUGGGAUGAGGCCCAGACUACAAUGGGAGGCAGAGGUGGAGAAUGUAAUACUAUGGGCGGGAGGCUGAUGUAGCAACGCAGCGUGGGGGAUGAGAUCAAGCGGGUUGGGAUCUGAUGCUGUUUUAGACGAGGUGUGAGUGACGGUAACGGGUAAAGAAGCUCCGGCUAACUACGUG
Molecule: ribosomal RNA, 468 nt
Filed under: uncultured bacterium
Lineage: Bacteria
Description: partial 16S ribosomal RNA
Rfam family: Bacterial small subunit ribosomal RNA
Source: RNAcentral